UUGAGCAUCAAUGGCCUCAAGUGGUUGCGAAGUAUCAUUUGGAUAGCAACAAACAUGUCGUCGGAUUGUAUGAAAUUAAGUAUUUUUGGGUGCUGGCUUACCUUCGUAAUUAUUUAUUUGGAGGAAUGACAACCACAGGGAGAUCAGAGAGUAUAAAUGCGUACGUAAAACGAUUCAUUAGCUCCCACAAAAAUUUGGAAAAUUUUGUUAGGCAGGUUGAUAUUGCAAUUGAAAACAUUCAACAACGACAAUUGCAUAACACAAUGCUGCAAAAGUAUAGGGGUUCCACUCUAAGAACAAUGUCGCCGUUGAAAAAGCAAGCUUGUGGUGUUCUUACACCGUUUUGUUUUGAGAAGUUUUCAAGAGGAAUUUGGUAGAGCAACUUUAUAUUCAUUAGUUCAUGAGCACGGGUGUGAAUUUGGAGUCAAACAUCACUAUAGUACAAAGAGCAAAACUCACAUUGUGUUUUGGGAUGGUGAGACUACUACAUGUAGUUGCAAGCAUUUUGAAUAUUGGGGAAUUCUUUGUCGUCACAUACUAAGUGUAUUUCUUCAUAAGGACUGCUAUAAAAUUCCAUCUAUCUAUUUGCCUUUGCGUUGGUGUCAUGACAUACUUCAAAGUGAGG
Molecule: long non-coding RNA, 625 nt
Organism: Rhododendron vialii
Lineage: Eukaryota; Viridiplantae; Streptophyta; Magnoliopsida; Ericales; Ericaceae
Exons: 2
Source: RefSeq, a predicted model, not a curated record